RNAcentral lists this small nuclear RNA (139 nucleotides) under Meriones unguiculatus (Mongolian gerbil). RNAcentral describes it as "U1 spliceosomal RNA (ENSMUGG00000019607.1)". It matches the Rfam family "U1 spliceosomal RNA", at positions 1 to 139 of the family's 166-position model. Rfam says of the family: U1 is a small nuclear RNA (snRNA) component of the spliceosome (involved in pre-mRNA splicing). Its 5' end forms complementary base pairs with the 5' splice junction, thus defining the 5' donor site of an intron. There are significant differences in sequence and secondary structure between metazoan and yeast U1 snRNAs, the latter being much longer (568 nucleotides as compared to 164 nucleotides in human). Lineage: Eukaryota; Metazoa; Chordata; Mammalia; Rodentia; Muridae. The record is from RNAcentral.
ACAUUUACCUGGUAAGAGCGAUACCAAGCUCAAGACGUUAGUUUUUCCAGGGUGAGCUCCAUGCUAAUGCACUUUUGCUGUGCCUAUCCCUGUGGUUUCUCAAAAUGUGGGAGAUUCAACUGCAUAAUUUAUAUGGGGA